UCUCAGUCGCAAUGGAGUUUGUUGACUAAUCAUUCAAAUACAAACCUACCUUAUUCAUCAUUGUCCUACAUAUUUUCGAUUGAUAACACAUAUAUAACUCUAACCCUAGAUUUACUUCAAUCAGAUUUAAGGUUCCUUCUGCAGAAAUUGAAAGUUAGGGUUUGAGGUUAUGUUAACGUUCUGAGAUGAAUCGUGGUUUUUCUGCAAGAAUUGAGAUUGAAUAGGUUUGUUGAGAUUGAUAUAGAAUGAGGAUGAGGUAAGGAAGAAGAGGAACCCAUUGUUCCCAAUAAAAGAGGUCGAAAGGAACUCAUAUAACACUGUGGUCGUUGCCUGAGAAUAAAGGCGGCAUGGAGGAUGCUGGAUCCAGAUUGGUCAAUGUUUGGAUCAGGCAGAUGCCAGAUACCAAGUAAAUGACAAGUGCUUGAGGGUGAUAAGGAGUAUCAGGAGUUGGUUCCGAAAUUAAACCAGCCCGGAAGGAUUCCUGAUCAAGUGGCGUUCCUUGUGAUGAGUUUAAAGGGUUUAUCUGGAGAUGUUACAUCUAUUGAUAUCGUUCGACAUGAGACGCUUCUGCAAGCUGUAAGUUCGUGAGUUGAAUAUUUCCUCGCAGUCUCGCUGGUUAGUGCAACUUAUGAUCGUCGUGAUCACAGUUACAUUGUAUCAAUAAGACACUACCCUGCUUCUGAGGUUAUUCUUGUUGGGUUUUUGCAAGACUUGGAUGGAGUUACCCUUGUGAUAUUUGGAGUCUUGGUUGUAUCUUAAUUGAGCUAUGCUCGGGAGAGACAUUGUUUAAGACGCACGAGAACUUAGAGCACCUGGCCAUGAUGGAGAGGAUAUUGAGGUCAAUACCAAGUCACAUGUUGAAGAGAGUUGGAUACGUGAUUUCAUCUUUUUAAGUUCUCUUGGUGGUUAUUUUGAAAAUGUUCCAUCUGGUAACUUGUCCAUUUCGUUGUCAAAUAUCAUGCCGAGGAAUAUACAAUUAUACAUAAACAAGGGAAGAUUGAAUUUCCCAGAGAGUGCGGUAUCCAAGGAAAUCAUUAAAGUUGUUUCGAAGUUGCCACAUUUACCGGUUCAGGUUGGAAGAUCACCAAUUUAUAAAUUUGAUGGGCUACUUGUUUGAUGGGUUGUAAAUCAAAUGUGGAAUGGUUAACCUUGUUGAUCUUGCUGGGUCCAGGAGCUUCAUAAUGCUCAGUUAUUGUUGACAGCAGAAAUGAGUGAAAAACUCGAAAAGACUCAGGUAAUUUACUAUUGGAGUGGUUAUGCUCGAAACUUUUUUUUUUUAAUCUUUUUCUUUGCUGUACAAAAACUUAUUGUAUUUUCUGUUACUUUUCGCCUGCAUAAUAAACUCGAGAAUGCUGAACAUUCACUUUUCGAUCUAGAACAGAGAUAUAGACAAGAAAAUGCGACCAUCAAAGAAAAAGAAUUUUUGAUCUCUAAUCUCCUUCGAGCAGGUGAGCGAGAAUCUAUUUUUAUUUCUUCAGUUAGCUUAUUGUUGCAUAUGAGCAGCAGAGAUUCCUAUUUCUUCAGUACCCAAGAAAACAUUGUUGUUGGAUACUUAAUAUGGAUUGCCUCUUCAUAUUCCCACCACACAACCUUUGUUUUGUGCAUGCUUGAUGUCUUUUGGCCUAGUAGUACCAGUACCCUUGGUUUAUGCUUAUUGUUAUUGUUACAUUCUUGGUUGAAGCCUGAUGUUUGACCUGGUUGAAUUGAAAAUUUCCUUCCUAA
Molecule: long non-coding RNA, 1722 nt
Organism: Papaver somniferum (opium poppy)
Lineage: Eukaryota; Viridiplantae; Streptophyta; Magnoliopsida; Ranunculales; Papaveraceae
Exons: 8
Source: RefSeq, a predicted model, not a curated record